GCUCCUAGGAAUGAACUCAAGGAAAGCAGGCCCGCUGGGCGAGGAGGUGGCUCCACCAGCUGGUGCCCCUAUAGAAAGCUGAGGCGGUGGGCUCAACAGCCCGCCCGCCACUCUGAGGCCGCCAAGGCCUGCAGUGCUCCGGGCCCCACGCAUCCCGCGUGUGCGGAAAGAGAUGCAAAGCAUUGACGGUCCUGCCACCCAAACGCAGGUUUGCACCUGAGGAGGCACCUGAGAAACUGGGUGAAGCGGGAAGGACCUCAGUCAUCCCCUAAAAACUCAAAUGCACAUAUUUUUCGCAACUCUUCAAUUUGCCGAGGGGUUCCUCAUGCCCCAGGUGUAGCCGGCGUCCCCAGUUCUAGGUUGGGAUUGGCAAACCUGGGGAGCACCCCGUCUUCGCCAGCAGGCAGCUAAGUGCAGGCGGCGAAGGCCGCGGGGGGCGGGCCCGCCCGCUGCCGGCGUUGGUCGCCCGCCCGCCAGCUCGCACUCGGUCGCGUCGCGGGGUAGGCAUGGGAGUCGCACGCGCCCUUCCGGCGCCCACACCUGUUGGAGCGGCGCAGUGAGCUGCGGCCCGGGCGGGCUGCUCGGCGCGGGUUCUGUGACUCAGGAAAAUGAGAGCAAGCCUGGCUGCAGAGGGUUCACAGGGCUUUGUUCAUCUUUAGGUAUUUGCUUUAGGAAUUAGCAUGGUUUCACUGUUCAGUAUUCCUGGCCACAGAGUCCAUGGAAAACCCUUUGUUAGCCUUCCAGAUGGUGUCCGAAACUUUUAUCUCUACAGACUUGCCCACUGUUUCUUUCGACAUUACUGUUUGUAGUGGUCACAGGAAUUCAUCUGUUGUACAAUAGAGAAUGUAUGUCCUGAGGAUUAGAUUUUUUUUCUCCCAGCCCUUGUGUGCUAGAGGAGUUCAUUCUCCCAAACACGUGCCCUCUUGAGGAGAGCUGUGUUGUUGCAGUGUUGAAGACUAAGGUGCAGAACUGGGGCAGAGAAGUUUCAGUGCCCAGCCUCCAAGCAGAUGGUGGUGGUUUAUACGUUUCUGAUAAUUUGCACAGUCCCUUCGCCAUUAGAGUAUUAGUGGAUUUGUGAAGUGGCAGCAUCCCCAUUAAGUAUAAAUAUUUUUAGACCGUGGACAGCAGGAGAGUGGCUCGUAUUGAGUGAUGGAGCACGGAAUGUGUAACUCUUGUGAGUCAGACAUACAGAGUUGGAAAAGAAAUAGUUUCUGUAUUACUAAGUAUGGUGAAAAAAUACUUGCUUACCUUAAUUUUCAUUCUGCGUUGUCAUCCAGGUGAAGCGAUACAUGAGAAUACUUGGUUGAGAACUUUAUAAGAUAAUUAUGUAUGUGAGGAAUCUUUAUCCAGUAAAGGUUUUUUCCUAGAAGUGAAAUGUUAUGGACCUGAAUUUUCUUCAUCUGGAUUUAGGUAUAAUGAGGAUAAGAUUCAGAAGAUAAGAUUUGGAAAUCUUCAUUCUUUUUUUUUUUUUUUAAAGAUUUUAUUUAUUUGUUCGACAGAGAGAGAGAGAGCCAGCGAGAGAGGGAACACAAGCAGGGAGAGUGGGAGAGGAAGAAACAGGCUCCCAGCGGAGGAACCUGACGUGGGGCUCGAUCCCAUAACGCCGGGAUCACGCCCUGAGCUGAAGGCAGACGCUUAACCGCUGUGCCACCCAGGUGCCCCCUUCAUUCUUUUUUUUUAAAGGUGUGCAUAUUUCAGACAGUUCUAUAAGGAUGAGGUGAUUCAUUUGUGAGGGCAAGAGAGAAUUUCAAGUUAAUGGACUCCAUUAGUUACCUUUUCCAACAGUGAGAUUGUGAAUGUUGCUGUUAUAUAUGUUUCCAUCCUAGAAUGUUUGUAUAAGUAAACUUAAAUGGGCAUAGUGCAGGCUUGCUUAGAGUUUAUCAAAAUGGAAACAGUAAUUGUCUUCUGGGAAAUUAUUCAGGAAAUUAUCAUCAGGUGAGUUGAGAAAUUAAUGCAAAGCCACCAACCUAAUUUUAAAGCAUCACGGUUAUCACUGGGCAUCUUAUUAAUGGGAAAGGAGUCAAGGUAGGGUGUGAAUGCCUUGGGAAAGGGCCUUGGUGGGUGAGAUUUCCCCCCCUCACCCUUUUCUGAGAGCCGGCACACCCAACCAUCCUUCUACUCCAUUCUUGAAAGUCGCCCUCUGCUGGAGGCCUUUGUUUCCUUGGCAAAAACUCAGGAGGGCAAUCUUGUCUCCCAGAUAGGCAAGAGAUAAGCAAGAUAAACUUUCCUUUUCCGCUUGGCCUCCGGCCUCCUUAAUUCUGUGAGUGUAGGCUCCAAACAGUAAAUGGGGUGCAGACCCUGUUCGUGCACAACAUAGUGCUUGCCCUGGACUUUUGUGACCCUGGGAAAUUACAAAAUUAGAGAAUCCUCGGCCUGAAAAGACCAGCACUAAAAAGACUAAAGAGUUCAGGUUGCUAUUCAGAAUAGUUGCUAAACUACGCUUAACACACAUUUGGUAGAGGGGUGAGCAGUUUAUGAAGUCUGUAACCUUAAUACAGACGUCAGCUUAAACUCAUUUGGGAGCCUGAGAACAGACAACUUUAUCUCCCAAUUUACAGUCUGUUAAAAACCAUUACAUUGCACACCACAAACUAAUAUAAUUAUAUUUCAAUACAAUUUUU
Molecule: long non-coding RNA, 2621 nt
Organism: Ailuropoda melanoleuca (giant panda)
Lineage: Eukaryota; Metazoa; Chordata; Mammalia; Carnivora; Ursidae
Source: Ensembl